This 497-nucleotide ribosomal RNA is filed under the name uncultured bacterium. RNAcentral describes it as "partial 16S ribosomal RNA". It matches the Rfam family "Bacterial small subunit ribosomal RNA", at positions 28 to 507 of the family's 1533-position model. The record is from RNAcentral.
GACGAACGCUGGCGGCGAGCCUAAUACAUGCAAGUUGAGCGCUGAAGGUUGGUACUUGUACCAACUGGAUGAGCAGCGCACGGGUGAGUAACGCGUGGGGAAUCUGCCUUUGAGCGGGGGACAACAUUUGGAAACGAAUGCUAAUACCGCAUAAAAACUUUAAACACAAGUUUUAAGUUUGAAAGAUGCAAUUGCAUCACUCAAAGAUGAUCCCGCGUUGUAUUAGCUAGUUGGUGAGGUAAAGGCUCACCAAGGCGAUGAUACAUAGCCGACCUGAGAGGGUGAUCGGCCACAUUGGGACUGAGACACGGCCCAAACUCCUACGGGAGGCAGCAGUAGGGAAUCUUCGGCAAUGGACGAAAGUCUGACCGAGCAACGCCGCGUGAGUGAAGAAGGUUUUCGGAUCGUAAAACUCUGUUGGUAGAGAAGAACGUUGGUGAGAGUGGAAAGCUCAUCAAGUGACGGUAACUACCCAGAAAGGGACGGCUAACUACGUG